Molecule: small RNA, 240 nt
Filed under: Notamacropus eugenii (tammar wallaby)
Lineage: Eukaryota; Metazoa; Chordata; Mammalia; Diprotodontia; Macropodidae
Description: 7SK RNA (ENSMEUG00000018325.1)
Rfam family: 7SK RNA (bases 1-176)
About the family: 7SK was discovered as an abundant small nuclear RNA in the mid-70s but a possible function has only recently been suggested.
Source: RNAcentral
GGAUGUGAAAGUGAUUUGGCUCUGACAUCUGUCACACAGUUUAUUGGUAAGGCUCAUUUUACUGUCUUGGUUCAGUAGGUAGGAGACCCCCUUAUCCCUCACCACUCCAUGUGCUCCUGUCUGUGAGCUACAUACUGGCUGAAAAAGAUGACCUUCCCUGAUAGAAAAGGGCAGAAGAAUAGUGAUGAUGUUCUCUUAUAACAUGCAAAUAAGUCCUUGUGCCAUGUGGUAGGGCUCUGA